GUUUUGGCGUAAAUUUUAAACGCGCUCCUCCCUCUCCCUCUCCCUCUCUCUCUCUCUCUCAUCAUCUCUCCAGACUCCCCCACCAAAAACAAAAAUUAAAUAUAAAAAAAAUUCCAAAUAAUUUGUUUUGUCUCUGUAAAUCACGAGGAGGAAGCUCUUUGAUUAUAAAGAAAGAGUUUUCUCAGAUCGGGGGGACACUGUUCCCACUUCCAAUCCAACCCUCCGAUCCCCAUCGUAACCCACAUUGCCCCGGAUCCCAUCGCGCAUUUCUAAUUUUUUUUUUAUUCGAUUUGUUUUGGAUGCGAUUUGAUUCUUUGUAUUAGCAUUUGUUUCGAUUCGAUUCGGUUAUGCGGUUCGAAGCCGAUUGGAUUUGAUUGGGAGAUUUCUGAGGAUCUGUGAGCUUUGUGAUGAUCUGAAGGAUUGGAUUGGAUUGGAUUUGAUUUGAUUUGAUUUGAUUUGAUUGCUUUGUGUUGGAGAGAUGGAUCCGUUAUCUGCAAUCAGCGAAGAGCUGGCGGAGAUCGACGGACAAAUCGCCGAUAUCUUCCGUGCAUUGUCAAAUGGGUUUCAAAAGCUGGAGAAGAUUAAGGACUCGAAUAGGCAGAGUAGGCAGCUGGAAGAGCUCACUGACAAGAUGCGAGACUGUAAGAGGCUUAUCAAAGAAUUUGAUCGAGAAGUCAAGAAUAUGGAGAGAAUAAAUGACCCAAAUACCAGUAGAAUGCUGAAUGAGAAAAAGCAGUCAAUGAUCAAAGAGUUGAAUUCAUAUGUGGCUCUGAAGAAACAAUACGCAUCAAACCUUGAAAACAAGAAAAUUGAUCUCUUUGAUGGGCCGGCAGAAGACUUUGGGGAACAAAAUGUCUUGCUAGCCUCGGCUAUGACGAAUCAACAACUUAUGGAUAAUGGAAACCAAAUGAUGAAUGAGACAGAUCAAGCCAUUGAGAGAUCAAAAAAGGUUGUUCAUGAAACCAUCAAUGUUGGAACAGAGACAACACAAGCUCUCAAGGCUCAAACUGAACAAAUGAGCAGGAUUGUCAACGAGCUGGACUCUAUUCAUUUCUCAAUCAAGAAAGCUUCUAAGCUGGUCAAGGAAAUUGGUUGCAACUGAUAGAUGUAUUAUGGGAUUACUUGUCUUGAUUGUCAUUGGGGUCAUAGCCAUCAUUAUUGUGAAGCUGGUUCAUCCAAACAACAAGAACAUUCCAGAUAUUCCUGGAUUAGCCCCUCCUGCAAUGACUCGAAAGUUACUGUGGAAUCCAUACUGAGGAGAGAUCAAAAUGGACCAUGUCAUGAGAUUGCCAAGAUGGUUCGUGCUCAAAUGAACGUUAGCUUUUACCCUGUUUUACGGAGCAGAUACGGAAGCUAUAUCCCGGUAAGUUUUGCUCUGAAGGCCAGCUGAUUUUCGAGAAAGCCAGUCUUACUACUGUUGUUGUGCCUUGUGUUAUUGGCUGCAGUUGCAUGAGAUAUGUAUUAUCACUGUUUCUUCCCUCUGACGGUAUACAAGGUGUAUUUUAGGAUGUAUUGGUUCUCAUACAUUAUUUACCCUUUGGUUGUAUUUGUAGUCACUUUUUACCCAAUCUUUGUUUGGUAAAUUAUUUCAUGUACCAAAUUAAUAUUCAAAUUUCAAAGUGAAUUUCAAUUUUCGUGGAUUGAAUGCA
Malus domestica (apple) is the source of this 1649-nucleotide non-coding RNA. Lineage: Eukaryota; Viridiplantae; Streptophyta; Magnoliopsida; Rosales; Rosaceae. The record is from RefSeq and is a predicted model, not a curated record.